This 273-nucleotide unclassified non-coding RNA is filed under the name air metagenome. RNAcentral describes it as "partial contains small subunit ribosomal RNA, internal transcribed spacer 1, and 5.8S ribosomal RNA". The stretch from base 1 to 46 matches the Rfam family "Eukaryotic small subunit ribosomal RNA", at positions 1786 to 1831 of the family's 1831-position model. The record is from RNAcentral.
AAGUCGUAACAAGGUUUCCGUAGGUGAACCUGCGGAAGGAUCAUUACGCAUAGGGACUGGCAGCCGAGUCCCCACCUAGCGAAAAUUAGGUGGGGUAAGGUGCGCCAGCAACCCCCCGAGCAUAUCGCCGGGCCACCCUGCCUUUUGAGCACCAUUUCGUUUCCUCGGCGGGCUUGCCCGCCACUGGGGACCCUCAAAAACCUUUUGUAAUGAGAAGUAACAGUAUUAUAAAGAAAUUAAUCACAACUUUCAACAAUGGAUCUCUUGGCUCUG